ACGGUCCGGGGGCCGGAUGUGGCCCAGCGGAAUGUUUUAUGCGGCCUGCUGACACCUACAGCAGACAUGCCUAUAGUCCCGCAUUAUGCGGAAACGGCCCGCAAAAUCAUCAAAAAAGCUCACAUGUUCCGCCGUUCCGCAUUCACGAUUUUUUGUUCCGCCAAGUCUGAAUUUUAUCAUUAUUUAUUAAUAGUGCGAAUUGAAAAUACUGAGUGCAAAAUAAAAUAUAUAUAGGUCUGUGUUUAUUGUUUACAUUUCAUCUACUUCCGGACCCGGUGUGUCCUAAAUUUACGAAGAAAUGGCUGAAGACUAGAUCUAGAUCUACAUCUAGUUCUAGACAUAGAUCUCUAGAUCUACUGAUCUAGUAGUCUAGGUCUAGAUAUUAGAAUUAGAUCUAUUCUUAGAAUCUAGAUGUUGUGAUUAGCUCCCCAAUCUGUGCCAGCUAAUUUUUUCAAGAGGGAUAGUCUCUGGAUGCCUUUACUCUGUGUUUUAUCUAUUUGGUUUUUCCAGUGAGAAUAUGGUAUAUGUGGUCUUUUUUGUGUUGAUGGACAUGCCCCAGUCUUUGGACCAAUUAUUGAGUUUAUCAAGAGCAUCUUGUAAUCGAAAUUUCGAUGUUCCUACAUAUUCUUCUGUGCUAAUUAUGGCAAGGUCAUCUGCAUACAUGCUGCUUUUAACUUUUCUAGGUGGCGAUUUUAUUGUUUACCAUGGAGUUGUCUACUUUUCAAAUUUUACUGACCAAGUUUUUUACAGUGACUGAUCCAUCAGCAGUUUCCGAAGCAGUAACUGAUAUCUCAAAAAAAUAUCGCUUUACUGAUGGUGUCUGGUCACCUCAGAGGAUCAACAGGAUUUGUUCAUUGAAAGACACUUGAAGGUGUAGGCAGUUAAAGCAAAAGGACUUCUUGCAAUGUUUGUUUCAAGGACCAGACACAACAGAAUUUGACAACAUAUGUAUUGGAAGCUCAAAAUCAGAAACUGAAAUCUGCCCAUGUGGAGUGUCACCAGAGAAUGUUGACCAUCUUCUCCAAAACUGCUCUCUUUACCAAGAGGCUGUACAUGACACUGGCCCCAAAACACCCCAAUAGAAAGAAAACUAUAUGGAGAGUUCCCUGAUUUGGAAACGCUGUGAAAAUAAUCUCAUAUACUGGUCCAGUCAUCUGAAUGCUCCAAUAAAAAAAUGAGAAGGAAGAAGAAAGAAGAUUGGGAGCAACAUGGCUAUUGAAAAGCAGAGACCAUACAAACCUCAUUAGAUGAAGAGUUUUAUUUUGUUGGUAAAGUCCUUGGUUUUGAGCCAGCAGAGAAACAUAGAAAGCUCUAUUUUUACAAUAUAUAAAGAGUGACUUUAGCUCAACUCCUCACCAAGCUUUACAGUCUGUGACAUUUUUUUGGUAAAACUUUUAAUCAGAUUUAUGUGUGUAUACUUAAUUAUGUUAACUACAUUUAUCAAGAAUACUAUAUUCAUAAAAAGAAGCUGCUUUAAAGGAUUAAAGAUAACUUUGACCCUUUUGAGAAAACAAAUUUAAACACAAGAUUUUGAAUUAAUUUUGUAAUUCUUUUAUAUUUUUUUUUCUGAAAGCCACAUAACGACACAAGUAUUUAUUCAAGGUUUUGAAUGUAUGGUAUACUGUUAGGUUUAGUAUUGAGUCAUUCAGUAAAUUGUUUUUGUUUUGUGGUUUUUAUAAAUUAAUAAAUGGAAGUUUAUAUAAUGUGUUAUGCUUAUAUGUAUGAUUUUUUUUACUGAUCUAAAGAAAGAAACUUGAGGAUUUUAAUUUUUAUUCCUUUUGAAACAUGUAAGGAAUAUUAGAACAUUGGUUGGCAACAUUAUUAGUGUAAAAAUGUAUUUCACUUGGUAGCCAAGAAUGCUUAUAACUGAGAUGACAUCACUAAUUGUGGUUAACAAGGGUGCCAUGUUGUCAGCACAAUAACCAACCGCCUUUACUUUUCCUAACUCAUAUCAGGUACCCAUUAGAGCUGGGUGGACUCAAAGGCACCAUAAAGAUCCCAAAAUUAAAAUACCCAUCUUCACUAGGAUUUGAACCCAGGGUCCUUCUGUUUGGAAGUCAAGUGCUUUACCACUCAUCCACAUGCCUCUGUUAAAGGCUAGAUUUUGUGACAAUUAUUUUUAGGACAGAGAAUGAUGUAUGCACAAAGUUGUAGCUUUUUUUUAUUUUUAUUAAAUUUAUUUGUAUUUAACCACUGACUUAUUAAUCUCUGAAUUGUCAAAUUUAAGUUUGUAAUCAGUUAGUGUUGACCUUGGCUUGAUAGGCUAAAAGGAUUAACAAUAAUAAUAAUAAUAAUUAUAGCUUGUAUGUAGUGCUACUUUCAUGCUUACAGCAUGCUCAGAGUGCUGUGUUCCAAUCUUAUGUGUGAACCAGUAGGGGGGGGGAUUUGGGAGAGGGUUUUCCAUGCUGCCUUCGGGUACCCAGUAAACAGAACUCUGCUUGAGUCGUGUGUUUAACCUAGAGUCACCUUGAUAGGUAGCCAAGCCAAGCCAAGUUCAAGCAUACUUAGCCUCUUGACCAUGCCUCCACAUUGAAAUUAAAUUGUAAAUGUUAAAUAUUUUUAAAAAUUUAAUACAGAAUUUGAUAUUUAUGAAAUAUUUAAUACAGAAUUUGAUAUUGAUGAAAAAUUUAAUACAGAAUUUGAUAUUGAUUACAAAAAAUAAUACAGAAUUUGAUAUUGAUACCUGAUACCAUUUCAUUUGUGUGUGUGUGUGUUUCCAAUAAUAAAAAAAUAACAAAAAAUAAUACAGAAUUUGAUAUUGAUACCAUUUCAUUUGUGUGUGUGUGUGUUUCUAAUAAUAUUUCUAUGAAUGUACAAUUUAUUCUCUAGAUAAAGAUUCAUUUUCUGUUUUGUAAGGCAGCUCUCAAUCCUCAGUGUUAUGAACAUAAUGAUAACAGAGUCGAAAACCAUGUCCGCUUAGUAUGGCUUUAAUACACUGAAUGACUACACAACACACAUUUUGUGAACACAUUCUUACAGACGAGUUACAAUCACAUGUAAACAUAAGAACCAAAACCGAUACAGCAUAUAAUUUUCAUAAGUGAAAUUCUAAAUUUACUGAACUAAACAGACU
Biomphalaria glabrata is the source of this 3073-nucleotide long non-coding RNA. RefSeq lists it as uncharacterized. The transcript is spliced from 8 exons. The record is from RefSeq and is a predicted model, not a curated record. NCBI's taxonomy places the organism in Eukaryota, Metazoa, Mollusca, Gastropoda, Planorbidae.